This 498-nucleotide ribosomal RNA is filed under the name uncultured bacterium. Its description in RNAcentral is "partial 16S ribosomal RNA". It matches the Rfam family "Bacterial small subunit ribosomal RNA", at positions 28 to 507 of the family's 1533-position model. The record is from RNAcentral.
GAUGAACGCUGGCGGCGUGCCUAAUACAUGCAAGUCGAGCGAACAGACGAGGAGCUUGCUCCUCUGACGUUAGCGGACGGCCGGGUGAGUAACACGUGGAUAACCUACCUAUAAGACUGGGAUAACUUCGGGAAACCGGAGCUAAUACCGGAUAAUAUAUUGAACCGCAUGGUUCAAUAGUGAAAGACGGUUUUGCUGUCACUUAUAGAUGGAUCCGCGCCGCAUUAGCUAGUUGGUAAGGUAACGGCUUACCAAGGCAACGAUGCGUAGCCGACCUGAGAGGGUGAUCGGCCACACUGGAACUGAGACACGGUCCAGACUCCUACGGGAGGCAGCAGUAGGGAAUCUUCCGCAAUGGGCGAAAGCCUGACGGAGCAACGCCGCGUGAGUGAUGAAGGUCUUCGGAUCGUAAAACUCUGUUAUUAGGGAAGAACAAAUGUGUAAGUAACUAUGCACGUCUUGACGGUACCUAAUCAGAAAGCCACGGCUAACUACGUG